This 502-nucleotide unclassified non-coding RNA is filed under the name uncultured Diversispora. Its description in RNAcentral is "SSU rRNA". It matches the Rfam family "Eukaryotic small subunit ribosomal RNA", at positions 591 to 1092 of the family's 1831-position model. The record is from RNAcentral. Lineage: Eukaryota; Fungi; Glomeromycota; Glomeromycetes; Diversisporales; Diversisporaceae.
CCAAUAGCGUAUAUUAAAGUUGUUGCGGUUAAAAAGCUCGUAGUUGAACUUCGGGGUCUACCCAUUGGUCAGGCUUAAUUGUCUGCACUGGUGAGAUGGAUCUCUACCUUCUGAGGAACUUUCAUGCCAUUUAUUUGGUGUGGUUGGAAAUCAGGACUGUUACUUUGAAAAAAUUAGAGUGUUUAAAGCAGACUAUCGUCUGAAUACAUUAGCAUGGAAUAAUGAAAUAGGACGGACUGAUUCUAUUUCGUUGGUUUCUAGGAUCACCGUAAUGAUUAAUAGGGAUAGUUGGGGGCAUUAGUAUUCAAUUGUCAGAGGUGAAAUUCUUGGAUUUAUUGAAGACUAACUACUGCGAAAGCAUUUGCCAAGGAUGUUUUCAUUAAUCAAGAACGAAAGUUAGGGGAUCGAAGACGAUCAGAUACCGUCGUAGUCUUAACCAUAAACUAUGCCGACUAGGGAUCGGACGAAGUUAAUUUUAUAAUGACGCGUUCGGCACCUUACG